RNAcentral lists this ribosomal RNA (632 nucleotides) under uncultured bacterium. RNAcentral's name for it is "bacterial SSU rRNA". The stretch from base 1 to 531 matches the Rfam family "Bacterial small subunit ribosomal RNA", at positions 338 to 873 of the family's 1533-position model. The record is from RNAcentral.
CCUACGGGAGGCAGCAGUGGGGAAUUUUCCGCAAUGGGCGAAAGCCUGACGGAGCAAUACCGCGUGAGGGAAGAAAGCCUACUGGGUUGUAAACCUCUUUUUUCAGGGAGGAAAAAAUGACGUGUACCUGAAGAAUAAGCAUCGGCUAACUCCGUGCCAGCAGCCGCGGUAAGACGGAGGAUGCAAGUGUUAUCCGGAAUUACUGGGCGUAAAGCGUCUGUAGGUGGUUUAAUAAGUCAACUGUUAAAUCUUGAGGCUUAACUUCAAAACAGCAGUCGAAACUAUUAGACUAGAGUAUAGUAGGGGUAAAGGGAAUUUCCAGUGGAGCGGUGAAAUGCGUAGAUAUUGGAAAGAACACCGAUGGCGAAAGCACUUUACUGGGCUAUUACUAACACUCAGAGACGAAAGCUAGGGUAGCAAAUGGGAUUAGAUACCCCAGUAGUCCUAGCUGUAAACAAUGGAUACUAGAUGUUGAAACAGAUACGACCUAGUGCAGUAUUAAAGUACUAACGUACGUUAAGUUAAUCCGUCCGUCGGUAGGUAGUAGUCUCGCAGAGUAGUAAACGUUAAAGUAGUAAGUUAGUACGGACGUGUAAGUACGUAGUUCGAACGGACGACGACGAGGGAGGAGG